GACGAACGCUGGCGGCGUGCUUAACACAUGCAAGUCGAACGGAAAGGCCCUGCUUUUGUGGGGUGCUCGAGUGGCGAACGGGUGAGUAACACGUGAGUAACCUGCCCUUGACUUUGGGAUAACUUCAGGAAACUGGGGCUAAUACCGGAUAGGAGCUCCUGCUGCAUGGUGGGGGUUGGAAAGUUUCGGCGGUUGGGGAUGGACUCGCGGCUUAUCAGCUUGUUGGUGGGGUAGUGGCUUACCAAGGCUUUGACGGGUAGCCGGCCUGAGAGGGUGACCGGCCACCUUGGGACUGAGAUACGGCCCCGACUCCUACGGGAGGCAGCAGUGGGGAAUAUUGCACAAUGGGCGGAAGCCUGAUGCAGCAACGCCGCGUGCGGGAUGACGGCCUUCGGGUUGUAAACCGCUUUCGCCUGUGACGAAGCGUGAGUGACGGUAAUGGGUAAAGAAGCACCGGCUAACUACGUG
This 468-nucleotide ribosomal RNA is filed under the name uncultured bacterium. Its description in RNAcentral is "partial 16S ribosomal RNA". It matches the Rfam family "Bacterial small subunit ribosomal RNA", at positions 28 to 507 of the family's 1533-position model. The record is from RNAcentral.